This 271-nucleotide long non-coding RNA is filed under the name Lathyrus oleraceus (garden pea). RNAcentral's name for it is "Pisum sativum (pea) long non-coding RNA (PSAT_LNC005356)". Lineage: Eukaryota; Viridiplantae; Streptophyta; Magnoliopsida; Fabales; Fabaceae. The record is from RNAcentral.
UUUUUUUUUAAUUACAGUUGUACGGGCUUAAUGGAUUAACUGCAGCGACUUAAUCAUAAUGGAUAAUGAGUUUUUUAAAUUCGUAUUAAAAAAAAUCUAAAAAAUAUAAUUUUAUUCUAAGACUUAAAUCCUAUAAUUUAUUGAAUUUAGCAGAUCGACUCAUAUAUAUAAUAAUCUAUUUUAUCGGCUCUAAGUUCAGUCGUCAAUUAUCAGAUAUUUUUUAGUAUAAAAUUUGAGUUUGAACAAAAUUUGAGAUAGCCUAAAAUACAAA